UACCGAGUGCGGGCCCUCGGGGNCAACCUCCCACCCGUGUUGCCCGAACCUAUGUUGCCUCGGGGGCCCGCGCCCGCCGACGGCCCCCCUGAACGCUGUCUGAAGUUGCAGUCUGAGACCUAUAACGAAAUUAGUUAAAACUUUCAACAACGGAUCUCUUGGUUCCGGCAUCGAUGAAGAACGCAGCGAAAUGCGAUAACUAAUGUGAAUUGCAGAAUUCAGUGAAUCAUCGAGUCUUUGAACGCACAUUGCGCCCUCUGGUAUUCCGGAGGGCAUGCCUGUCCGAGCGUCAUUGCUGCCCUCAAGCCCGGCUUGUGUGUUGGGCCCCGUCCCCCCCGCCGGGGGGACGGGCCCGAAAGGCAGCGGCGGCACCGCGUCCGGUCCUCGAGCGUAUGGGGCUUCGUCACCCGCUCUAGUAGGCCCGGCCGGCGCCAGCCGACCCCCAACCUUUAAUUAUCUCAGGGUGACCUCGGAUCAGGUAGGGAUACCCGCUGAACUUAAUCAUAUCAAUAAGCGGAGGAAAAGAAACCAACCGGGAUUGCCCUAGUAACGGUGAGUGAAGCGGCAAGAGCUCAAAUUUGAAAGCUGGNCCCCUCGGGGUCCGCAUUGUAAUUUGCAGAGGAUGCUUCGGGAACGGNCCCCAUCUAAGUGCCCUGGAACGGGNCGUCAUAGAGGGUGAGAAUCCCGUCUGGGAUGGGGUGGCCGCGCCCGUGUGAAGCUCCUUCGACGAGUCGAGUUGUUUGGGAAUGCAGCUCUAAUU
Molecule: ribosomal RNA, 760 nt
Filed under: fungal endophyte
Lineage: Eukaryota; Fungi
Description: eukaryotic LSU rRNA
Rfam family: Eukaryotic large subunit ribosomal RNA (bases 465-760)
Source: RNAcentral